Schistocerca americana (American grasshopper) is the source of this 106-nucleotide small nuclear RNA. The record is from RefSeq and is a predicted model, not a curated record. Lineage: Eukaryota; Metazoa; Arthropoda; Insecta; Orthoptera; Acrididae.
GUAUACUCGCUUCGGUAGUUCGUAUACUACAUCUGUAACGAUACAGUGAUUGGCAUAGCCUCUGUUCAAGGAAGAGACUCAACAUCGAAAAGAGUUCUCCAAUGAU